This 582-nucleotide small RNA is filed under the name Pongo abelii (Sumatran orangutan). RNAcentral's name for it is "retained intron". Lineage: Eukaryota; Metazoa; Chordata; Mammalia; Primates; Hominidae. The record is from RNAcentral.
ACUCAGAAGCUUGGACCGCAUCCUAGCCGCCGACUCACACAAGGCAGGUGGGUGAGGAAAUCCAGAGUUGCCAUGGAGAAAAUUUCAGUGUCAGCAUUCUUGCUCCUUGUGGCCCUCUCCUACACUCUGGCCAGAGAUACCACAGUCAAACCUGCAGCCAAAAAGGACACAAAGGACUCUCGACCCAAACUGCCCCAGACCCUCUCCAGAGGUAGGAGUCAGCUUCUUGUUGGCUUCCAACUGCUACUUAAUUGGAAAAGAUUUCCUCUCUCUUGGUGCUUAAACCUGGUUCUAACCUGGCGCCAGGUUAUUUUUGGUUGUGUUCCUUCUAGAUUUAUCAUUGUUUAUAAUUAUUUCUACUUUCUCCAAGGGUUUUUCUUCUUUAGUAUCACGUCUAUUAACCCAGUCUUUACCAUUGCUUUUCAACAGCUUUGGGUCUGAAUUUAUACAAGCUUCAAAUAUAAUGAUUCAUUUCAUUCUAGGUUGGGGUGACCAACUCAUCUGGACUCAGACAUAUGAAGAAGCUCUAUAUAAAUCCAAGACAAGGUAAAGAUCAGGAUUACUCAGAGCUCCCUCAAAGCU